AACGAACGCUGGCGGCAUGCCUAAUACAUGCAAGUCGAACGAGAUCUUCGGAUCUAGUGGCGCACGGGUGCGUAACGCGUGGGAAUCUGCCCUUGGGUUCGGAAUAACGUCUGGAAACGGAAGCUAAUACCGGAUGAUGACGUAAGUCCAAAGAUUUAUCGCCCAAGGAUGAGCCCGCGUAGGAUUAGCUAGUUGGUGGGGUAAAGGCCCACCAAGGCGACGAUCCUUAGCUGGUCUGAGAGGAUGAUCAGCCACACUGGGACUGAGACACGGCCCAGACUCCUACGGGAGGCCGCAGUAGGGCAUAUUGGACAAUGGGGGAAACCCUGAUCCAGCAAUGCCGCGUGAGUGAUGAAGGCCUUAGGGUUGUAAAGCUCUUUUACCCGGGAUGAUAAUGACCGUACCGGGAGAAUAAGCUCCGGCUAACUCCGUG
Molecule: ribosomal RNA, 433 nt
Filed under: uncultured bacterium
Lineage: Bacteria
Description: partial 16S ribosomal RNA
Rfam family: Bacterial small subunit ribosomal RNA
Source: RNAcentral